GCUCAACCUCGGGCCUGCAGUGGGUACGGGCAGACUAGAGUGCGGUAGGGGAGAUUGGAAUUCCUGGUGUAGCGGUGGAAUGCGCAGAUAUCAGGAGGAACACCAAUGGCGAAGGCAGAUCUCUGGGCCGUAACUGACGCUAAGGAGCGAAAGCAUGGGGAGCGAACAGGAUUAGAUACCCUGGUAGUCCAUGCCGUAAACGUUGGGAACUAGAUGUGGGGACCAUUCCACGGUCUCCGUGUCGCAGCUAACGCAUUAAGUUCCCCGCCUGGGGAGUACGGCCGCAAGGCUAAAACUCAAAGGAAUUGACGGGGGCCCGCACAAGCGGCGGAGCAUGCGGAUUAAUUCGAUGCAACGCGAAGAACCUUACCAAGGCUUGACAUAUACCGGAAACGGCUGGAAACAGCCGCCCCGCAAGGUCGGUAUACAGGUGGUGCAUGGUUGUCGUCAGCUCGUGUCGUGAGAUGUUGGGUUAAGUCCCGCAACGAGCGCAACCCUCGUCCUAUGUUGCCAGCACGUAAUGGUGGGAACUCAUGGGAUACUGCCGGGGUCAACUCGGAGGAAGGUGGGGAUGACGUCAAAUCAUCACGCCCCUUAUGUCUUGGGCUUCACGCAUGCUACAAUGGCCGGUACAAAGGGCUGCGAUACCGCAAGGUGGAGCGAAUCCCAAAAAGCCGGUCUCAGUUCGGAUUGAGGUCUGCAACUCGACCUCAUGAAGUCGGAGUCGCUAGUAAUCGCAGAUCAGCAACGCUGCGGUGAAUACGUUCCCGGGCCUUGUACACACCGCC
This 788-nucleotide ribosomal RNA is filed under the name uncultured Cryobacterium sp. RNAcentral describes it as "bacterial SSU rRNA". It matches the Rfam family "Bacterial small subunit ribosomal RNA", at positions 607 to 1394 of the family's 1533-position model. The record is from RNAcentral. Lineage: Bacteria; Bacillati; Actinomycetota; Actinomycetes; Micrococcales; Microbacteriaceae.